GAUGAAGAACGUAGCGAAAUGCGAUAAGUAAUGUGAAUUGCAGAAUUCAGUGAAUCAUCGAAUCUUUGAACGCACAUUGCGCCCGCCAGUAUUCUGGCGGGCAUGCCUGUUCGAGCGUCAAUUCAACCAUCAAGCCCCCGGCUUGUGUUGGGGACCUGCGGCUGCCGCAGGCCCUGAAAACCAGUGGCGGGCUCGCUAGUCACUCCGAGCGUAGUAGUUACAUCUCGCUCAGGGCGUGCUGCGGGUUCCGGCCGUUAAAAGCCUUAUUUACCCAAGGUUGACCUCGGAUCAGGUAGGAAGACCCGCUGAACUUAAGCAUAUCAAUAAGCGGAGGA
RNAcentral lists this unclassified non-coding RNA (335 nucleotides) under soil metagenome. Its description in RNAcentral is "partial contains 5.8S ribosomal RNA, internal transcribed spacer 2, and large subunit ribosomal RNA". The stretch from base 1 to 120 matches the Rfam family "5.8S ribosomal RNA", at positions 35 to 154 of the family's 154-position model. The record is from RNAcentral.